This is an RNA transcript of Herpailurus yagouaroundi (jaguarundi), 6105 nucleotides long. It is a transcript of the gene named collagen type XIII alpha 1 chain, with no coding region annotated. The record is from RefSeq and is a predicted model, not a curated record. The transcript is spliced from 40 exons. Lineage: Eukaryota; Metazoa; Chordata; Mammalia; Carnivora; Felidae.
AAGUAGCACGGAUUGCUCAUCCGAUCCGUUCGGCCGCAGCCAGUGUGUCAAAUUACAGAGGCGCCGGAAUCGGCCCCAACGCUUCUCGGCGGCGGCCACCACCCACCUCUGCCCAUGGGGCCCUCGGUGUGCGCCCCUUCGCGCCGGGACUGAAGCCGGCUCGCCCGGGAGACGCGAGACACCAAGAAGGACCGACAGCGCGGAACCAACUCCGGGACUCUGCAGAUACUUGAAGGGGGAAACGGGGCGGAGAGGAGAGCCGGCCGGAUUCCCCUAACUUUCCUGGACUUGGAACGUUCUUCGAAGUAACUCUCUCCUCACCUGGGUCUACUACCGCUGUACUGCCAGCGGCAGCUGGUUGUGUUCUCUCGGCUGUCCCCCUCCUGCCGCUAAUUUUUCCAUCGUCUUUGCCGGGAGCAAAGGAAAGGGACAUUUUUCCCCCCUUGCCCGCAGCUUGGAUCGCGCCUCUGGGCAGCGGCUCUCGCCUUUAUUUAUUCUAUUUAUUUAUUUAUUGGUUCUCGAGACGCAAGGGGAUGGUAGCCGAGCGCCCCCGCAAAGCGGCAGCCGCCGGUGCCCGCGGCCCGGGGGAGCUAAGCGCGCCCGCGACGGUGGCGCUGGCGGUGGCGCCGGCGGAGCGCUGCGCGCGGCUGCCGAGCCCGGGGUCGUGCGGGCUGCUGGCGCUGGCCCUGUGUUCGCUGGCGCUCAGCCUGCUCGCCCACUUUCGGACCGCGGAGCUGCAGGCCCGGGUGCUGCGCCUGGAAUCGGAGCGUGGGGAGCAGCAAAUGGAGACGGCUAUUUUGGGACGAGUCAACCAACUGCUGGAUGAGAAAUGGAAGCUCCACUCUCGGAGGCGCCGGGAGGCCCCCCCGAAGACGUCUGCAGGGUGUCACUGCCCACCAGGACCUCCUGGUCCCGCUGGAAGACCCGGCCUCCCAGGGGACAAAGGUGCCAUUGGGAUUCCUGGACGUGUGGGAGUAAAGGGCCAACCAGGCGAGAAGGGGGCCCCAGGAGAUGCCGGCAUGUCCAUCAUCGGUCCCCGCGGCCCCCCUGGUCAGCCGGGCACUCGAGGUUUUCCUGGAUUUCCGGGUCCCAUCGGGCUAGAUGGAAAACCGGGCCACCCCGGACCCAAAGGAGAGAUGGGCCUGACGGGUCCCCGAGGACAGCCGGGACCUCAAGGACAAAAAGGAGAAAAGGGUCAGUGUGGAGAGUACCCACAUCGGCUGCUGCCUCUCCUCAAUUCAGUGCGACUGGCUCCACCCCCAGUCAUAAAAAGGCGGACCUUCCAGGGCGAACAGGGCCAGGCCGGUAUCCAAGGACCACCGGGGCCACCAGGCCCCCCUGGACCGAGCGGACCUCUGGGGCCCCCGGGACUGCCAGGGCCCAUGGGGCCACCCGGCUUACCUGGGCCUCCAGGACCAAAGGGAGACCCAGGAAUCCAGGGUUACCACGGUCGAAAGGGAGAACGAGGCAUGCCGGGGAUGCCCGGCAAACACGGAGCCAAGGGGGCUCCCGGCAUCACCGUGGCGGGGAUGAAGGGGGAGCCGGGGACCCCAGGAGCCAAGGGCGAAAAGGGGGCUGCAGGCUCCCCCGGGCUGCUCGGCCUCCUGGGGCAGAAGGGAGAAAAAGGCGACGCUGGCAACUCCUUUGGAGGGGGCAGAGGGGAGCCCGGCCCCCCAGGGCUACCUGGGCCCCCAGGCCCAAAGGGAGAAGCUGGUGUUGAUGGCCAGGCCGGCCCCCCAGGACGGCAAGGAGACAAGGGUGAGCCCGGAGCAGCCGGAGAACAGGGACCGGCUGGCCCCAAGGGCAGCAAGGGGGAACCAGGCAAAGAAAUGGUGGACUACAAUGGGAACAUCAACGAGGCUCUCCAGGAGAUCCGAACGCUGGCCUUGAUGGGGCCCCCUGGUCUUCCCGGGCAAAUCGGCCCACCCGGAGCCCCGGGGAUCCCAGGCCAGAAGGGGGAGAUUGGACUUCCAGGCCCUCCAGGACACGAUGGGGAAAAGGGACCUCGAGGCAAACCAGGCGACAUGGGCCCUCCCGGUCCCCAAGGCCCCCCAGGAAAGGCUGGGCCCACAGGAAUGAAGGGUGAAGACGGACACGUGGGGAGCCCGGGAGAAAAGGGGGAGAAAGGGGAGACGGGGCAAGCAGGCCCACCGGGUCUAGACGGCCCAACUGGGGAGAAAGGAGAACCAGGUGGCCAAGGGAGACCCGGAACAACAGGAUUGCCCGGCCCGAUCGGGCUCCCGGGAUUUACAGGGGAGAAAGGAGAGCCCGGGGAGAAGGGAGACCCAGGAGCGGAGGUUCCUGGGCCCCCAGGGCCAGAGGGGCCUCCCGGACCUCCGGGACUCCAAGGUGUUCCUGGACCAAAGGGGGAAGCGGGACUGGAUGGAGCAAAAGGAGAGAAGGGUGUCCAGGGAGAGAAAGGAGACCGAGGGCCGCUGGGAUUACCCGGAGCUUCAGGUUUGGACGGCAGGCCUGGGCCACCGGGUACUCCAGGACCAGUCGGAGUUCCAGGCCCAGCGGGACCAAAGGGCGAGAGGGGCAGCAAAGGCGACCUUGGGAUGACAGGACCAUCAGGAGCGGCUGGGCUUCCUGGUUUACAUGGACCACCCGGGGACAAAGGAAACCGGGGACACCGAGGUUUUAAAGGAGAGAAAGGGGAGCCGGGGUUACCAGGGCUGGACGGACUGGAUGCCCCGUGCCCAUUGGUAUGGCAUCACCCUCCCUCGCCUGCAUGGCCGACUCAGGCUUCCCCACGUGUGUGGUUCUUGCCCGCAUGCCUCUCCAGCCGCCCUCCUCACGCCUCCUGCCCCAUCCACUCAGUCUCCACUUCCUGCUCCUUCUCUCUGUAGACGCCAAGGGUCACCCUGCCCUGGCUGGUCCUCAGGGCCUCCAAGCAUGCCCCCUGGAGCACGCAAAGCUUGCCAGAUGUUUUCUCGGCUUCUUCCUCCAGCUGCUGCAAAAGCACAUCCCCUUAAUGUGAGCCAUCCCGCAUCCAACCCUCCCUUCCUAGGGGCUUCUAGCCAAACCUGCCCCCAGAAAGUCAGGAAGGUGAGAUCCUCUGGACAGGUUCUUGGCAACUGUGACUUCUCUUCCUUCACACACUGCGGUUGGUUCAGCAAGCAUCAGCUGAGCCCCAGGCGGAACAUUUGAAUGAGAUGCCUGAGCCAGUCCCACACACCUUCCCGUUCCGCCAUCUUGUGAUGUGGCCGGGGACAGACGGGCAUGCUCAUAAACGUGGGUAGACUGAGAAGUUCUAGAACUGAGGUAGAAGAGGGGGCCACUCUGCCCGUUCUUCCAGGCUGCCUCUGGGGUCGUUACCCCGGUGCUACCACCAGAACUAAAGGAUGGUCCAAGGUCAGGAUUUUAGAUACUAAACGAUUCAUCCUUUUUGCUUCAACCCGGGGAGACACUACAAGACCCUCGCUUGGCUUCCCUCCCUUUCAUCUGCAGAUGACCCACCACCGGCAAGUCUGGAAGAGAAUGGAAAGGUCGAGAAUGUAGUUGAGGAAGAGAAGAGGGGAGACAGGGAGGCUCUUAGGAACCCUCCCCACGCAUGUGCUGGCCGAGUGGCCACAGUGCUGCUCACACCUGGCUCAGGGUCUGUCGGGCAGGGACGUUCUAGCCCCAUAGCCACCCUUUCACCUCGCUGCAAGGGAGAAAUGGACGGCACCUCACUCCAAGGCAAUUGGCUUAGAAGGUUCCCGCUCUUCUAAACUUCCCCAGGAGGUCUAGAGUGCACGUAACUAUUUUCAUACAAGUAAGAGAUGAGGACUCCAGGUCCCACGUCUCACCCCGGGGUCACACGAGAAUUAUCUCUGAAGAGAAGAGAAAAAGUUGUAGGAAAAUACGCUGUGUGCCCCUGAGAAGUGACCACAGAGCCCCGUGAAGGGACUUUUUAGGACCAGUAUAGACAACAAAAGAAGACUGCAGGGUAGCAUGCUCCCCCUUCCCCCCACCCCUCUGCUGAAGCCCCUGCUCACUGCCCCCACCUCCCCACCGCCUGGCCUGAUGACCCCCGAGCACGCAGCCAUAGGACCCCCGGUCCCCCCAGAGCACCUCCACUAAUCACCGGCCAGGUCUCCUCUCGGCCACGUGCCUUCCGUGGCCUGAGUACCUUGAGUUCCGCUGGCCCCCGCCACCCUGCUCCUCUCUCACACACUCCCUCCGCCUGCCCCACUCUCCUCUGUCGCCCUGCCACCAUCACGUGCCAAUGGGAAUGCCGCCGUGGCCCCGCGGAGGCUCCUCUCCCUUCCAGAGUCCAUGUGAAGUGUCGCACCACGGCGGGCUGGGGAAGGGGGCAGGUCUCCAUGAAGCCCUGGAAUGCCCCACCUCCCCCUGCAGACCCUCCCUGACCCAGAGGGGACAAUGAAGGUCAUCUUUGUUUGGUCCUUAAUGCAAAGCGGCAUUUUCUGCAACAACAUCCCAUACCGAUGUGUCCUUUGUCUACGAAUCUCGCUGGGGAAGUGUACAUAUCUUCCCUUUCUUGUUUCUCGUCGUGGCUCUUUUCCCGUCCCCUGCCCUGUGUCGUUGUGGACAUGGGGGCAGGGGGAGCUAUCUCAGUUUGAGAUAAGUAGGCUUCUUCUGCCCUCCGCGGCGGGCCGGCUGCCUGCUACCUGCCAGGCCAGAGGUUUAGGCACCUGUCGUGGUGGAUGAAAUCGAUCUGCGGCACAGAGGGCUCCCAUUCAACCACCUCUGGGCUAACGGCUUGCUCCAGUCAUCUGAAACCCCGCGUCCAUCCUUUUGUGCCCUGGAGCGUGGAAUUCUAGGAUCUGGGCUGCAAUUCUAGACCAGAUCUAGGCCCCGGUUCAGCCUCACACUCCCACCUUGUCUCACAGUUUCCAGAUCCCCCCAGGGUAUGCCAGCGGGGGCCAGGAUAUCAGGGCCCGAGAAGCCUUAGGACGUCCGGGGGCUACAGGUGCUCUGUGGGUGCCACCGGCAAAGGGGACAGACGGGGCACGGUUGAUCCCCAUCCUCCACUUCAUCUCCGCCCCCGGCCCCAAAUUCCCAGUAAUGGCUGAGGCUGAGCCCGAGGACAGCAUCACCCUGCUGAAGGCACCUCGAGACCAUGUUGCGAUUCCCGUGAGGUUGCUUGCCUCUGCACCCCGCCCUCCUCCUUAUUGAUUAACAGAUGGGAACCGCCUAGAUCUCUUCCUCCUGCCUCUCAGGAAGGGAGGAAACUAAGAUCAUAGGAGAGCUGGGGACACCUUAGUGAUCACCUCAUACAACCGCACCUUCCCCAGGUUUCACAGAGGAUGAAACAGGCCUCCAAGCGCUGAAUGACUGAGCUGUGAGCACCUAGCAUUCAGUACAGCCAGAGCAGAGACCUGCGCGGCUGAGGGCUGUUCCUAACAGGACACUCAGGUCACCGCUGCUCGCUGACCCCACAGGCUAGGGCAGCCCCCCCCCCUUGGCCUUGCACGGUGACUGCGUGUGACCCUAGUCAGUGGGAAGUCCGGCUUGCCUCCCGCGCAUUUCGGAGGCUCUGCCCUGAAGCAGAGGAGAGGGAUAGACAAGAGGCGAGCUGCCACAGUGUUUGCGGCCCUUGCUCCCCUGUCCUGCCUGCUCGCCGGGCUGUCCCAGAGUCUGAGCCACCUGCCUUCCUUCCUCCCCGCAGGGCGAAGAUGGCUUACCAGUCCAGGGCUGUUGGAACAAGUGAUGCCUCUAACCUGGGAUUGGCCUGUGUGUGUGUUUGUACAUAGAGUAUUUAUUUUUAUACAGUUUUCACUUUUUGAAAAUGCCGGAAGUAUGAUGCAUCUUACAGAUUAUUAUUAAAAAAAAAAAGAAAGAAAAAGAAAACCUUGCAUAUUUUGUACAGAAAAUGCCAACCUCUUUCCUUUUGUUUACAAGAUGUUUUGUAUACGUCUACGACUCUAAUACACUUUUUGUUUGUGAGUACGGGCAUAUGUUUGCAUGAUAUUUGUGCACACUUAUUAAGUAUUGAAGCUUAAUAAAUUAUAGUGUUCUGGUGCCGAAGGGGGCCGGCCAACACUAAGGUGCUGGCUAGCUUACGUGUGGACUCACGGGGAUGUGGACAUCGGUGGUGUUUUUGCCAAGAAUAUUUUAAGCUCUUACGGAUUUUCAUUAUUAAAAAAAGUUAAACGUGGC